RNAcentral lists this ribosomal RNA (466 nucleotides) under uncultured bacterium. RNAcentral's name for it is "bacterial SSU rRNA". It matches the Rfam family "Bacterial small subunit ribosomal RNA", at positions 330 to 792 of the family's 1533-position model. The record is from RNAcentral.
UCCAGACUCCUACGGGAGGCAGCAGUGAGGAAUAUUGGUCAAUGGGCGGAAGCCUGAACCAGCCAAGUCGCGUGAGGGAAGAAGGCCCUGCGGGUCGCAGACCUCUUUGGACGGGGAGCAAGGCCGCCGACGUGUCGGCGGAAGGAGAGUACCCGUAGAACAAGCAUCGGCUAACUCCGUGCCAGCAGCCGCGGUAAUACGUAGGGAGCAAGCGUUAUCCGGAUUUACUGGGUGUAAAGGGCGCGUAGGCGGGAUGGCAAGUCAGAUGUGAAAUCCAAGGGCUCAACCCUUGAACUGCAUUUGAAACUGUCGUUCUUGAGUACUGGAGAGGUUGACGGAAUUCCUAGUGUAGCGGUGAAAUGCGUAGAUAUUAGGAGGAACACCAGUGGCGAAGGCGGUCAACUGGACAGCAACUGACGCUGAGGCGCGAAAGCGUGGGGAGCAAACAGGAUUAGAUACCCCUGUA